CGCAUCUGUGCAUGCAGCAUAUCAAUAAGCGGAGGAAAAGAAACUAACAAGGAUUCCCUUAGUAACGGCGAGUGAAGCGGGAAGAGCUCAAAUUUGAAAUCUUCAAGGUUUUACCUUGACGAAUUGUAGUUUAAAGAAGUGUUUUCUGUUGAAGUUUUGGUAAAAGUUCUUUGGAAUAGGACAUCAUAGAGGGUGAGAAUCCCGUAUUUGACCAUUAUUUUCAGCUGUGUGAUACACUUUCAAAGAGUCGGAUUGUUUGGGAAUGCAGUCCAAAAUGGGUGGUAAAUUUCAUCUAAAGCUAAAUAUUGGCGAGAGACCGAUAGCGAACAAGUACCGUGAGGGAAAGAUGAAAAGAACUUUGAAAAGAGAGUUAAACAGUACGUGAAAUCGUCAAAAGGGAAGCGUUUGACACCAGUGUUGUUUUCUCGAAAAUCAAUUAAAAAGAGUUUGAUUUUGUUGUGUAUUGACCUUAACAGCUUGCAUUUCAAUUUUCUUGCUUUUUUUAAUGCACUUUUCGUUUAACAAGUCAACAUCAGUUUCUUUUGUUGUAAAAAGGUCAUUGGAAGGUGGCUUUCUUUUCGGAGAAAGUGUUUAUAGCCUUUGACUCCUGCAAUCGGAGAGACUGAGGUCUGCAGCGUAGAUCCUUCGGGGUUAGAUACAUUUGUGCUAAGUUAUAGCUUUUUAUAGACAACUUGUUGACUAUGAUUAGUCUUGUAGCUUACUCGCUUAUGCUAUUUUACCUACGCUUAGGAUGUUGAACUCUAUCACACACAG
RNAcentral lists this ribosomal RNA (774 nucleotides) under uncultured Neocallimastigales. RNAcentral's name for it is "partial large subunit ribosomal RNA". It matches the Rfam family "Eukaryotic large subunit ribosomal RNA", at positions 26 to 621 of the family's 3401-position model. Lineage: Eukaryota; Fungi; Neocallimastigomycota; Neocallimastigomycetes; Neocallimastigales. The record is from RNAcentral.